UACGUAGGGGACAAGCGUUGUCCGGAAUUAUUGGGCGUAAAGGGCUCGUAGGCGGUUUGUCGCGUCGGGAGUGAAAACUCAGGGCUUAACCCUGAGCCUGCUUCCGAUACGGGCAGACUAGAGGUAUGCAGGGGAGAACGGAAUUCCUGGUGUAGCGGUGAAAUGCGCAGAUAUCAGGAGGAACACCGGUGGCGAAGGCGGUUCUCUGGGCAUGAUCUGACGCUGAGGAGCGAAAGUGUGGGGAGCGAACAGG
RNAcentral lists this ribosomal RNA (253 nucleotides) under uncultured bacterium. RNAcentral describes it as "partial 16S ribosomal RNA". It matches the Rfam family "Bacterial small subunit ribosomal RNA", at positions 524 to 776 of the family's 1533-position model. The record is from RNAcentral.